This 468-nucleotide ribosomal RNA is filed under the name uncultured bacterium. RNAcentral's name for it is "partial 16S ribosomal RNA". It matches the Rfam family "Bacterial small subunit ribosomal RNA", at positions 28 to 507 of the family's 1533-position model. The record is from RNAcentral.
GAUGAACGCUGGCGGCGUGCUUAACACAUGCAAGUCGAACGGUGAAGGCGGAGCUUGCUCUGCUGGAUCAGUGGCGAACGGGUGAGUAACACGUGAGCAAUCUGCCCCUGACUCUGGGAUAAGCGCUGGAAACGGCGUCUAAUACUGGAUACGAGCUGCGAAGGCAUCUUCAGCAGCUGGAAAGAACUUCGGUCAGGGAUGAGCUCGCGGCCUAUGAGCUUGUUGGUGAGGUAACGGCUCACCAAGGCGUCGACGGGUAGCCGGCCUGAGAGGGUGACCGGCCACACUGGGACUGAGACACGGCCCAGACUCCUACGGGAGGCAGCAGUGGGGAAUAUUGCACAAUGGGCGAAAGCCUGAUGCAGCAACGCCGCGUGAGGGACGACGGCCUUCGGGUUGUAAACCUCUUUUAGCAGGGAAGAAGCGAAAGUGACGGUACCUGCAGAAAAAGCGCCGGCUAACUACGUG